GAGUUUAAACCGGCGUGAGCCAGGUUGGUUUCUAUCUUUAAUAUUUUAAUAAAUUUUAGUACGAAAGGACCAAAUUU
RNAcentral lists this ribosomal RNA (77 nucleotides) under Cryptocephalus celtibericus. RNAcentral's name for it is "partial 16S ribosomal RNA". Lineage: Eukaryota; Metazoa; Arthropoda; Insecta; Coleoptera; Chrysomelidae. The record is from RNAcentral.